AGAGUUUGAUCCUGGCUCAGGACGAACGUUGGCGGCGUGCUUAACACAUGCAAGUCGAGCGGGGCUUAGUGAAAAGUUUACUUUUUACUGAGUCUAGCGGCGGACGGGUGAGUAACGCGUGGAUAAUCUGCCUGUAAGACAGGGAUAACGCCGGGAAACCGGUGCUAAUACCGGAUACGUUGAUUUAAAGAGAAAAGGUGGCCUCUUUACAAUGCUACCACUUACAGAUGAAUCCGCGUCCCAUUAGCCAGUUGGUGGGGUAAUGGCCUACCAAGGCGACGAUGGGUAGCUGGUCUGAGAGGAUGAUCAGCCACACUGGAACUGAGACACGGUCCAGACUCCUACGGGAGGCAGCAGUGGGGAAUUUUGCGCAAUGGGCGAAAGCCUGACGCAGCAACGCCGCGUGAGUGAUGAAGGCCUUCGGGUCGUAAAAUUUCCUGUAAAUAAUGGGAUGGUUUGACGGUACAAUAAGAGGAAGCCACGGCUAACUACGUGCCAGCAGCCGCGGUAAUACGUAGGUGGCAAACGUUGUCCGGAAUUACUGGGCGUAAAGGGCGAGUAGGUGGUUUAUUAAGUCAGAAGUGAAAACUCCAGGCUCAACUUGGAGACUGCUUCUGAAACUGGUAGACUUGAGUGCAAGAGAGGGAAGUGGAAUUCCUAGUGUAGCGGUGAAAUGCGUAGAUAUUAGGAGGAACACCAGUGGCGAAGGCGACUUCCUGGCUUGUAACUGACACUGAGGCGCGAAAGCGUGGGGAUCAAACAGGAUUAGAUACCCUGGUAGUCCACGCCGUAAACGAUGAGUGCUAGGUGUCGGGGGUAUCGACCCCCUCGGUGCCACAGCUAACGCAAUAAGCACUCCGCCUGGGGAGUACGGUCGCAAGACUGAAACUCAAAGGAAUUGACGGGGGCCCGCACAAGCGGUGGAGUAUGUGGUUUAAUUCGACGCAACGCGAAGAACCUUACCAAGGCUUGACAUCCUGUGACAGCUAUAGAAAUAUAGACUUCUUAGUUUACUAAGACACAGAGACAGGUGGUGCAUGGUUGUCGUCAGCUCGUGUCGUGAGAUGUUGGGUUAAGUCCCGCAACGAGCGCAACCCCUACAGCCAGUUGCCAGCACAUAAAGGUGGGAACUCUGGCAGAACUGCCGUUGACAAAACGGAGGAAGGUGGGGAUGACGUCAAAUCAUCAUGCCCCUUAUGUCUUGGGCUACACACGUACUACAAUGCCCGGUACAGCGAGUUGCAAAGCCGCGAGGCAGAGCUAAUCUCUUAAAACCGGGCCAAGUUCAGAUCGGAGGCUGCAAUUCGCCCCACAUGAAGUUGGAAUCGCUAGUAAACGCAGAUCAUCAUGCUGCGUUGAAUACGUUCUCGGGCCUUGUACACACCGCCCGUCACACCAUGGGAGCCAGUAACACCCGAAGCCGGUGAGCUAACUUAACGGAGGCAGCUGUCGAAGGUGGGAUUGGUGACUGGGGUGAAGUCGUAACAAGGUAACC
RNAcentral lists this ribosomal RNA (1495 nucleotides) under uncultured bacterium. Its description in RNAcentral is "16S ribosomal RNA". It matches the Rfam family "Bacterial small subunit ribosomal RNA". The record is from RNAcentral.